Deltaproteobacteria bacterium DG_8 is the source of this 106-nucleotide non-coding RNA. Lineage: Bacteria; Deltaproteobacteria. The record is from Rfam.
AAAACCUUUAAUUUAAUCCAGCGAGAUUAAGAAGGUUGCUAUGAUAAUGAUCAAGUUAUUUCAUAGGAAUAUCCUCCUUGCCUUUUAGGUUAGGGAGGUUUUUUUU